This 307-nucleotide ribosomal RNA is filed under the name uncultured bacterium. RNAcentral's name for it is "partial 16S ribosomal RNA". It matches the Rfam family "Bacterial small subunit ribosomal RNA", at positions 506 to 807 of the family's 1533-position model. The record is from RNAcentral.
AGACAGCAGCAGCCACGGUAAUACAGAGGGUGCGAGCGUUAAUCGGAUUUACUGGGCGUAAAGCGUGCGUAGGCGGCUUUUUAAGUCGGAUGUGAAAUCCCUGAGCUUAACUUAGGAAUUGCAUUCGAUACUGGGAAGCUAGAGUAUGGGAGAGGAUGGUAGAAUUCCAGGUGUAGCGGUGAAAUGCGUAGAGAUCUGGAGGAAUACCGAUGGCGAAGGCAGCCAUCUGGCCUAAUACUGACGCUGAGGUACGAAAGCAUGGGGAGCAAACAGGAUUAGAUACCCGAGUAGUCCCUGUCUCUUAUAC